AUCAUAGUGGAAUAGCCUCGAGCAUGCGAUGCUGUCCUGGUCUUAGCUCUAUACGAGGAGUUACUGGUAGGUCCUACAUCUUUACAAUANCUUGUUGGGAACUGAGUGUUUCUGGGUAAGGAUAAGGCAAAAGUAUUGUAAAGUAGUGAAAAAUUAUUCGUUGGGUCUUAUAUCUGUUAUACUAUAUUUGUUUUCGAUUAACAUGGCAAGUUUAGAUAUUUGCUAUGUGAUAAUACAAUAGCUAUUGGUUAGUUAAAAAGGGGUUAAAGUUACCCAUUUUUAAGAAAAUUGUUAAAAGUUUUUUGUUUAGGCGGUUGUGUUUAUUAGAUAUAUAGUAUACAUUAAUAACUAGGUUUAUUAAUUAUAAAAUAAGUAAUAUUAAUUCUUUAUUCAUUUCUCGAGCUUUGCCCGUCUGUUUAUUAAAAACAUUUCCAAAUUUUAUAAUAUUUGGUAGUACCUGCUCUAUGUUUAUAUAAAUGGCCGCAGUAUUUUGACUGUGCGAAGGUAGCAUAAUUAAUUGCCUUAUAAUUGAAGGCUUGUUUGAAUGGUUUGACGUGGUGACAGUUAAUGUGUAAAGUAUUUAUUGAAAUUUAUUUUGAGGGCACAGAAUCCUCAUUUAUUAAUUAGACGGAAAGACCCCGGGAUUUUGUUAUUUUGUUUGGGGCGAAUUUUAAUAAUUCAUUGAAAUUUUGACCCUUUAGGUUUAAUGGUUUAAAUUACCCCGGGGAUAACAGGGUAAUAAUCAAUA
RNAcentral lists this ribosomal RNA (748 nucleotides) under Monocercus arionis. RNAcentral describes it as "partial 16S ribosomal RNA". The stretch from base 408 to 558 matches the Rfam family "Archaeal large subunit ribosomal RNA", at positions 1887 to 2086 of the family's 2987-position model. Lineage: Eukaryota; Metazoa; Platyhelminthes; Cestoda; Cyclophyllidea; Dilepididae. The record is from RNAcentral.